GGCCUCCNUGUGUGCGCCGGCCUGAUGAAAANCNUGUACNNNNGNNCAUCAACGGGAGCNNGCUGNNGUACGCGUANUAAACAGCCCCCUAAUUAGGGGCCAGUGAAAGGCAACACGAAAGCUUCCUCUAUCCUUUGUAUAAAAAAAAUUUUUCAUUUAUGUUAAAAGACAUAAAUAAUAUAGAAAGACGAAAAGACCCCGCGGAGCUUUACUAAAAAUUCUUUUCUUCACAAAGAAAUACACUAUUAGUUUGGUUGGGGCAACCUUGGAGUAAAUAAAACCUCCAAUAUUUCAUCCUUCAAUAUACAAAAUUUUUAAGGAAAAAAAAGAAGUUACCCCGGGGAUAACAGCGUUAUCUAACUAGAGAGUACACAUCGAAAGUUAGGUUUGCGACCUCGAUGUUGGCUUAGGGUAAUCCAUAUAGGCGCAGCAGCCAUAAAAGGACAGUCUGUUCGACUGCCAACCCCCU
This 469-nucleotide ribosomal RNA is filed under the name Anodontites elongata. Its description in RNAcentral is "partial 16S ribosomal RNA". The stretch from base 156 to 469 matches the Rfam family "Bacterial large subunit ribosomal RNA", at positions 2048 to 2597 of the family's 2925-position model. Lineage: Eukaryota; Metazoa; Mollusca; Bivalvia; Unionida; Mycetopodidae. The record is from RNAcentral.